CUUCCUUCAAACAUACUUACCCAAAGCCACCUCCUCCCCACCACAAGCUGUUACUGCUCACCCUUCUCCCCAUGUCCUCUUCCUAACUACACAAUGAGCCAGCACAGCCCUAGCCACAGCUCCCUGGAAAUGGAACUAGGGUCCUAGCUUCGAGGAGACAUAGCCGAGUUCACACCUCCUUACCAGUUCUCUGUCCUAGAAAACUCAUUGUGCCUCUCAGGGCCUCCCCAGUCUCCCAACCUGCACAAUGGAGAUCAGACUGGAAUCUACUUCCUAGUCACCAGGUGUAUGGGAGAUAAUAUCUAUAACACCUGUGGGCUGCCGUCAUGUGUAUCUAAGGCACAAACUUAGAGAUGGGAGAAUUACAAGAGGAGAUAGGAUGUAGCGUGGAACACCACUCAAAACAGGCCUGGGCUCCAGCAGUGUGAUAUUGGAACAGCCACUUCUAACUUGGCCUCAUUUGAGUGUCAGAACCAUGAGGGGGUUAAUGAACAAAAUUCAGACACUGUCAUCCUCUGGAUUAAAACCUUUCAAUUGUUUCCUGUUUUAUUUAGAGUGAGACCCAAGUGCCUCACCUCAGCCUAUGAGGUGGGCAGCCUCCACAGUGAUACCCAGUGACCCCACCUAUGGUAUACACUUCCCUUCCACAUUCCUGUGCAACCACUGAGUGGUUAGUGACUGGCUUCUGACCAGUAGAAUACAGCCAAUGGGAUGGGAUGCCAGGUCUAAGUUUUAAACACAGUCUCUCACUUCCUUCUUACUCCCUCUCUUGUGUUCCACCUCUCUCUCUCCCCCUGUGUGUCUCUCUGUCUCUGUCUCUCACUGUAGUGUCCCUGAGCUGAGGAACCAAGCACAGACGUUUUGUGCGGCCCUACAUAGGGGCCCACACAGGAGAGAACCUAGGCAGUGGCCAGGCCAACAGAUGGAAAGGAACUCGCGGUCUGAGCCAAGUCAGCAUCCUGAAUCCAAUUGAAAGCUCCUGGAAGACAGAGACCACUUGGCCAUUUUCAGCUCUGGACUUGGACCCUCCGAGGCACCUGGCACAGGGGAUGGUCACCUUCUCUCCCUGCAGUGGGGCCCACUGCAUCCUCCUGUGCCUCGUCACCCGCUCGCCAGGCCAGCACUCCGUGGAGAGAAGCUGCGUGCCGUGCCCCUUUGGCUUUUUGUGGUUGGGCGGCAGGACAACUCUGCAGCCAUGCCCCACCUGCGGAACCUGCACUGAGCUCCCAGGACUCCUAGACAGCAAGGAGUACCAGUGGUGCCUGACUAGACAGAAGCCAAGCUUGCAGAAUGCUGGCUACGUCUUCUGCCCCCUGGGCUACUUCUUCACAGACAGAGGCCCCAGCUGCCAGCCCUUCCCCACAGAACACAUCUGCCCAGACAGUGCUGUUGCUGCACUGUGCCCAGCCAGGAGCUUCAAGGACAAGAGAGAGACUCUGCACUCCAACGCCAGCUUCUGCUCAGCAGUUCUUGGCCAAUGUCUGCAGUGCCCAGCAGGACACUUCUGCCCCAACAGGGCCACCCAACUCAUCCCGAGCCAGCCAGGCACAUUCAGUCCCCACCCAGGCCAAGAUGAAGCCACAGACUGCGCUCCAUGCCCAGCAGGCAGGGCCUGCACCCAGGCGGGGCUGCCUCAGCCAGACGCGGAGUAUGCACCAGGGUAUGUGUGCCUUGUGGGCUCCUGUCUGCACACUCCCCGCCACGCCUGCCCACCUGGGACCUUCAGCAACCGCACCAACCUCUCCAACCUGUCGCACUGUGAGAUUUGCCCCACCAGACUGGCCUGUCCUAGGGGUGAGUGAGGAGGCAGAAAGGCAAGCUUACUGCCUGCUGGACCGUACCUUUGGGUCAAAGCCCAGCUCCACUGCAAGGCAGGGAGGCCAAAAAAACAGACCUUUGCCCGCAGCCCCUUUGUUCCCCACAAAGAGCACGGUCCACCUCACCUUAGGAUGCCCAAGGAAGGGAGCAUGUAGAGCACUGAGUCCCCACCCCGCUGUCCAGAUGGGGCAGCCUCUGGGCCACUGCCAACCCAGAUGCCCCUUCCCCAAUGCCAGCCCCAGCCCGUGUCCCUGCCACUUGCCAGCGGGAUACGGCUAGAGGGGCUGCUGCUCCUCUGGGCCCAGUUCAGGACUGUGUGUGCAGGAGCCGGGGGUCCAAACUGGUCCCCCAUCUCCUGCCCAGCUGGCUGUUACUGCCCUCGGGGCACCAAACAGCCAACCCAGUUCCAGUGUGCCUCCGGGCACCUGGAGUAACCAGCCUGGACUGACCGCCAGCAGGGCGUGUGCACCCUGCCCCAGGGGCUGGUUCUGCAUCAGCGGAGCCCAGGUGCCCUCAGGGACAUGCAAAGCUGGGCAUUACUGCCCACAAGGUGAGUGGGGCCAGGGUCUGCCCUGGCAAGGUCACAGGUGAGUGCAAGAAGGGAACAUGGGCCAGCCUGCACACCUCCCCAGAUUAAGGUUAGAUCUCAGGAAGGCCUUCCUGAGAGACAGACUCGGACUGGUCAGCCACUGAGCAUCCUAACUGGGGGUUCACGGGGGGUUUCCACGUAGACAAAGGUUGGGUCCCAGGUAAGUGGCACCCCUGUCCCCUGCUGCUUCUCCAGUGGCCUCCCUUGAGGAAUUGUCCCCAGGGAGCAGAAUGGGGAGCUCUGUGCUUGGAUGAUGCAGCUCUGGCACCCCUCUUACCUCCUCAGACCCUUCCCCUUCUCUCUGAAACAGGUACAAAGUGGGGUACCCAGUUCCCCUGCCCAGCGGGCACCUACAGCUCUCAGGCAGGCAACGGCCGGGUGGAAGACUGUCUGCCCUGUCCCCCAGGGGCCUUCUGCCCCAGGGGGGGCCCCAAGCCUGUGCUCUGCCCACGGGGAACCGCCCGCCAGAGUCCAGAUACGAGGCUGGCUGCGGCCUGUGUGCUGUGCCCCGCUGGCCACCACUGCCCUGAGCCCGGCACCACCACUCCGUGGCCAUGCAGCGCUGGCAGCUUCUCAGUAAGGGUUCCCAGGACAGACGCCAUCCCUCAGAGGGCCCGGAAGUAGGAGGAUCCUAAAUUCCUAAAGGGAGGUGAGGAGGCUUAGCGAAGCCUCCGUCCUGGGUCCCCUCCUCCCAGCACUGACCAUCUGUGGACCACGCCAGAUGCUCAGAGAGCACCUCAGUUCUCCUAGCAUCUGCCCUGCUCCGACCCACGCUCCUCGGAAAGGGAGGUGCACACACAGAGCCUGGGGCCCGGGCAGCAGCAUUCCCACUUUCAUUCAACACGG
Equus caballus (horse) is the source of this 3253-nucleotide long non-coding RNA. The record is from Ensembl. Lineage: Eukaryota; Metazoa; Chordata; Mammalia; Perissodactyla; Equidae.